GAUGAACGCUGGCGGCGUGCCUAAUACAUGCAAGUCGAGCGAAUGGAUUGAGAGCUUGCUCUCAAGAAGUUAGCGGCGGACGGGUGAGUAACACGUGGGUAACCUGCCCAUAAGACUGGGAUAACCCCGGGAACCGGGGCUAAUACCGGAUAAUAUUUUGAACUGCAUGGUUCGAAAUUGAAAGGCGGCUUCGGCUGUCACUUAUGGAUGGACCCGCGUCGCAUUAGCUAGUUGGUGAGGUAACGGCUCACCAAGGCAACGAUGCGUAGCCGACCUGAGAGGGUGAUCGGCCACACUGGGACUGAGACACGGCCCAGACUCCUACGGGAGGCAGCAGUAGGGAAUCUUCCGCAAUGGACGAAAGUCUGACGGAGCAACGCCGCGUGAGUGAUGAAGGCUUUCGGGUCGUAAAACUCUGUUGUUAGGGUAAGAACAAGUGCUAGUUGAAUAAGCUGGCACCUUGACGGUACCUAACAGAAAGCCACGGCUAACUACGUGCCAGCAGCCGCGG
Molecule: ribosomal RNA, 511 nt
Filed under: uncultured bacterium
Lineage: Bacteria
Description: bacterial SSU rRNA
Rfam family: Bacterial small subunit ribosomal RNA
Source: RNAcentral